UCCCCGUGUGUUGGUAGACGCGGCGGAUUCAAAAUCCGUUUUCGCAAGAAGUGGGAGUUCGAGUCUCCCUCGGGGCACCA
Molecule: transfer RNA, 80 nt
Filed under: Pseudomonas mandelii
Lineage: Bacteria; Pseudomonadati; Pseudomonadota; Gammaproteobacteria; Pseudomonadales; Pseudomonadaceae
Description: tRNA-Leu
Source: RNAcentral